UUGACAUCCAGAGAACUUGGCGGAGAUGCCUUGGUGCCUUCGGGACCUCUGAGACAGGUGCUGCAUGGCUGUCGUCAGCUCGUGUUGUGAAAUGUUGGGUUAAGUCCCGNAACGAGCGCAACCCCUAUCCUUUGUUGCCAGCGAUUCGGUCGGGAACUCAAAGGAGACUGCCGGUGAUAAACCGGAGGAAGGUGGGGAUGACGUCAAGUCAUCAUGGCCCUUACGAGUAGGGCUACACACGUGCUACAAUGGCGCAUACAAAGAGAAGCGACCUCGCGAGAGCAAGCGGACCUCAUAAAGUGCGUCGUAGUCCGGAUCGGAGUCUGCAACUCGACUCCGUGAAGUCGGAAUCGCUAGUAAUCGUAGAUCAGAAUGCUACGGUGAAUACGUUCCCGGGCCUUGUACACACCGCCCGUCACACCAUGGGAGUGGGUUGCAAAAGAAGUAGAUAGCUUAACCUUCGGGAGGGCGUUUACCACUUUGUGAUUCAUGACUGGGGUGAAGUCGUAACAAGGUAAGCGUAGCGAG
This 528-nucleotide ribosomal RNA is filed under the name uncultured bacterium. Its description in RNAcentral is "bacterial SSU rRNA". It matches the Rfam family "Bacterial small subunit ribosomal RNA", at positions 981 to 1509 of the family's 1533-position model. The record is from RNAcentral.